CUGUCCUUUUGAAAUUUUGAUUAUAAAAAUUUUAUUGUCCUAAAUUAACUGUUACUUUUAUAGUAUCUGAUAAUCUUAAAACUUUUAAUUUUAUACAAAAUAGACAUAAAUGACCUACAAUUUUUUCAUUAAAAUGAAGGUGGCAGAAUAAACAUUAUUUGUUAAAACCUCACGUGCCAAAUUUUGGCAUCAUGUUUGUAUUUAGAGCUGUUCUUAAAAUGAUGAUAUUACUUAUUUUUCAUUAUCCUAAUUUAAAACUGUACGAAGCUUUUCUCUGUCUUUCUAAUGGGAGCAUUGAUAAAAUGUUUAAAUGCCAUGCAUAUUAAGAUUAGCCUAACCUAGGAUCUUGUUAAAUUAAAGACACAUUUGUUCACUUUUAUACUCUAGAUAGAAUAAUUUAUAUUUCUGAUCAUGAAUCAAGUAUCUGAGGAUUCGUGUCCCUUUCUGUCCCUUUCAAAGAACUCCUGAAGCAACUUAACUCAAUAUUUCAGCCUUUGAGUAGAUAAAACUACCUGUACCUUCGUUAAUCACCCACAUUCUGUGACGGA
This 548-nucleotide long non-coding RNA is filed under the name Bos taurus (domestic cattle). RNAcentral's name for it is "long non-coding RNA NONBTAT022551". The record is from RNAcentral. Lineage: Eukaryota; Metazoa; Chordata; Mammalia; Artiodactyla; Bovidae.